GUGGGGAAUUUUGGACAAUGGGCGAAAGCCUGAUCCAGCCAUGCCGCGUGCAGGAUGAAGGCCUUCGGGUUGUAAACUGCUUUUGUACGGAACGAAAAGACUCCUUCUAAUAAAGGGGGUCCAUGACGGUACCGUAAGAAUAAGCACCGGCUAACUACGUGCCAGCAGCCGCGGUAAUACGUAGGGUGCAAGCGUUAAUCGGAAUUACUGGGCGUAAAGCGUGCGCAGGCGGUUAUAUAAGACAGAUGUGAAAUCCCCGGGCUCAACCUGGGAACUGCAUUGGUGACUGUAUAGCUAGAGUACGGUAGAGGGGGAUGGAAUUCCGCGUGUAGCAGUGAAAUGCGUAGAUAUGCGGAGGAACACCGAUGGCGAAGGCAAUCCCCUGGACCUGUACUGACGCUCAUGCACGAAAGCGUGGGGAGCAAACAGGAUUAGAUACCCUUGUAGUCC
This 450-nucleotide ribosomal RNA is filed under the name uncultured bacterium. RNAcentral's name for it is "partial 16S ribosomal RNA". It matches the Rfam family "Bacterial small subunit ribosomal RNA", at positions 354 to 796 of the family's 1533-position model. The record is from RNAcentral.